AUCUUGUUCAUGGACUCGAUGUAUGCCAAGAAAGAACAAGGCUUUGGGCACAAGCCUUAUCAACACAUUUUGAGGGCUCUUGCACAGAGGAUAGCACCAGGACCUUGGCAGGAACAGACAGGGCUGGACAUUGAGGGCCUCCCACAACAACAUUUUGGUGUUGACUGUGGAAUUUUC
Alosa sapidissima (American shad) is the source of this 177-nucleotide long non-coding RNA. RefSeq lists it as uncharacterized. The transcript has 3 exons. Lineage: Eukaryota; Metazoa; Chordata; Actinopteri; Clupeiformes; Clupeidae. The record is from RefSeq and is a predicted model, not a curated record.